Molecule: unclassified non-coding RNA, 230 nt
Filed under: Hevea brasiliensis (rubber tree)
Lineage: Eukaryota; Viridiplantae; Streptophyta; Magnoliopsida; Malpighiales; Euphorbiaceae
Source: RNAcentral
AAAGCACUACAAAGAAAUGUCUGAAAGAAUGAGAAAUCGGUCUGGGACUGAGGAUCUACCAUUUUAGGUCGGAAAAACAGAGGUAGAGAAUGGAGAUUGCAAACGGCAAGAUGAAAGACCACGUGAACAAUGCUCAGAUGGAGUAGAGUAGUGAAAUUAGGGUUGAAAAUAAAUAAUGGGACUCGAAACGUAAUGAAGAAGCAAAGGUACGUCGAUAAAACCGGGUAAGA